This 451-nucleotide ribosomal RNA is filed under the name uncultured bacterium. RNAcentral's name for it is "partial 16S ribosomal RNA". It matches the Rfam family "Bacterial small subunit ribosomal RNA", at positions 29 to 523 of the family's 1533-position model. The record is from RNAcentral.
AACGAACGCUGGCGGCAGGCUUAACACAUGCAAGUCGAACGGGUGUAGCAAUACAUCAGUGGCAGACGGGUGAGUAACACGUGGGAACCUUCCUAGAGGUACGGAACAACUCAGGGAAACUUGAGCUAAUACCGUAUACGCUCUUGCGAGGAAAGAUUUAUCGCCUUUAGACGGGCCCGCGUAGGAUUAGGUAGUUGGUGAGGUAACGGCUCACCAAGCCUACGAUCCUUAGCUGAUCUGAGAGGAUGAUCAGCCACACUGGAACUGAGACACGGUCCAGACUCCUACGGGAGGCAGCAGUGGGGAAUCUUGGACAAUGGGCGCAAGCCUGAUCCAGCCAUGCCGCGUGAGUGAAGAAGGCCUUCGGGUUGUAAAGCUCUUUCGUCAGGGACGAUAAUGACGGUACCUGAAGAAUAAGCCCCGGCAAACUUCGUGCCAGCCGCCGCGGUAA